AGUGAACGCUGGCGGUAGGCCUAACACAUGCAAGUCGAACGGCAGCACAGUAAGAGCUUGCUCUUACGGGUGGCGAGUGGCGGACGGGUGAGGAAUACAUCGGAAUCUACUUUUUCGUGGGGGAUAACGUAGGGAAACUUACGCUAAUACCGCAUACGACCUACGGGUGAAAGCAGGGGAUCUUCGGACCUUGCGCGAUUGAAUGAGCCGAUGUCGGAUUAGCUAGUUGGCGGGGUAAAGGCCCACCAAGGCGACGAUCCGUAGCUGGUCUGAGAGGAUGAUCAGCCACACUGGAACUGAGACACGGUCCAGACUCCUACGGGAGGCAGCAGUGGGGAAUAUUGGACAAUGGGCGCAAGCCUGAUCCGGCCAUAACGCGUGGGUGAAGAAGGCCUUCGGGUUGUAAAGCCCUUUUGUUGGGAAAGAAAAGCAGCAGGUUAAUACCCCGCUGUUCUGACGGUACCCAAAGAAUAAGCACCAGCUAACUUCGUG
RNAcentral lists this ribosomal RNA (492 nucleotides) under uncultured bacterium. Its description in RNAcentral is "partial 16S ribosomal RNA". It matches the Rfam family "Bacterial small subunit ribosomal RNA", at positions 29 to 507 of the family's 1533-position model. The record is from RNAcentral.